GACAGAGGGUGCAAACGUUGCUCGGAUUUACUGGGCGUAAAGCGCAUGUAGGCUGGAAUCUAAGUCGGGUGUGAAAUCCCUGGGCUCAACCUAGGAACCGCAUCCGAAACUGGAUUCCUGGAGUGGUGGAGAGGAAAGCGGAAUUCCGGGUGUAGAGGUGAAAUUCGUAGAUAUCCGGAGGAACACCAGUGGCGAAGGCGGCUUUCCGGACACCAACUGACGCUGAGAUGCGAAAGCGUGGGGAGCAAACAGG
RNAcentral lists this ribosomal RNA (253 nucleotides) under uncultured bacterium. RNAcentral's name for it is "partial 16S ribosomal RNA". It matches the Rfam family "Bacterial small subunit ribosomal RNA", at positions 524 to 776 of the family's 1533-position model. The record is from RNAcentral.